GUGGGGAAUCUUGCGCAAUGGGCGAAAGCCUGACGCAGCCAUGCCGCGUGAAUGAUGAAGGUCUUAGGAUUGUAAAAUUCUUUCACCGGGGACGAUAAUGACGGUACCCGGAGAAGAAGCUCCGGCUAACUCCGUGCCAGCAGCCGCGGUAAUACGAAGGGGGCUAGCGUUGCUCGGAAUUACUGGGCGUAAAGGGCGCGUAGGCGGACAGCUUAGUCAGAGGUGAAAGCUCAGGGCUCAACCUUGGAAUUGCCUUUGAUACUGGCUGGCUUGAGUUUGGGAGAGGUGAGUGGAACUCCGAGUGUAGAGGUGAAAUUCGUAGAUAUUCGGAAGAACACCAGUGGCGAAGGCGACUCACUGGCCCAAUACUGACGCUGAGGCGCGAAAGCGUGGGGAGCAAACAGGAUUAGAUACCCUUGUAGUCC
This 425-nucleotide ribosomal RNA is filed under the name uncultured bacterium. Its description in RNAcentral is "partial 16S ribosomal RNA". It matches the Rfam family "Bacterial small subunit ribosomal RNA", at positions 354 to 796 of the family's 1533-position model. The record is from RNAcentral.